AGACUCUGGUUUCUCUUCAGUGCGCACAAGCCUUUCUCCUUUCACUAAAGACUUUGUGGAGAGGAACAUCACAAGUAUCAACCCAUUUUUUGAUGCCCUGCUCAGGCGGGGCU
This is a small nuclear RNA of Osmerus eperlanus (European smelt), 113 nucleotides long. RefSeq annotates it as U5 spliceosomal RNA. The transcript has a single exon. Lineage: Eukaryota; Metazoa; Chordata; Actinopteri; Osmeriformes; Osmeridae. The record is from RefSeq and is a predicted model, not a curated record.